CGUAUGGUACUUUGUUGAAUGAAAUGAUUCAUUCAAGCAGAGCAGCGAUACGGCCCAAUAGAGGU
Psychromonas ingrahamii 37 is the source of this 65-nucleotide regulatory RNA element. It matches the Rfam family "L31-Gammaproteobacteria ribosomal protein leader". The record is from Rfam. Lineage: Bacteria; Pseudomonadati; Pseudomonadota; Gammaproteobacteria; Alteromonadales; Psychromonadaceae.